CCCUUAGAUGUUCUGGGCCGCACGCGCGCUACAAUGGUCUUCGCAAACGGAUGCAUUCUCGAAGGAGAAUGCCAAUCUUGGAAUCUAUGCCUUGGUCGGGACAGUUGCUUGCAAUUUUUCGACUCGAACCAGGAAUUCCUUGUAAUCGUGAUUCAUCACAUCACGAUGAAUACGUCCCUGCCCUUUGUACACACCGCCCGUCGCUCCUACCGAUCGAAGAGUUAGGUGAAUUGUUUUGAUCGAUAAGAUUUGACUAUGGUCAACUCUCGUUGUGAAAUUCUGUGAAUCUGACUGUUUAGAGGAAGGAAAAGCCGUAACA
Molecule: ribosomal RNA, 319 nt
Filed under: uncultured eukaryote
Lineage: Eukaryota
Description: partial 18S ribosomal RNA
Rfam family: Eukaryotic small subunit ribosomal RNA
Source: RNAcentral